Molecule: ribosomal RNA, 307 nt
Filed under: uncultured eukaryote
Lineage: Eukaryota
Description: partial 18S ribosomal RNA
Rfam family: Eukaryotic small subunit ribosomal RNA
Source: RNAcentral
CCCUUAGACGUUCUGGGCCGCACGCGCGCUACACUGACGAAGGCAACGAGCUUUCCUUUACCGAAAGGUACGGGUAAUCUUUUGAAACUUCGUCGUGCUGGGGAUAGAUCCUUGCAAUUUUUGAUCUUAAACGAGGAAUGCCUAGUAAGCGCAAGUCAUCAACUUGCGUUGAUUACGUCCCUGCCCUUUGUACACACCGCCCGUCGCUACUACCGAUUGAAUGGUUUAGUGAGGCCUUCGGAUCCGCGACUCGUUUGUGGAGAAGUUGGACAAACUCAGUCAUUUAGAGGAAGGAGAAGUCGUAACA